UGGAGAGAACCGACACAGGUACCAUAUGGAAUAUGGUAGCAAGGGUGACCUUGAACUCAGGUUGGCCUGACAUGACUGAGCGGGUACUAAGUGUAAUAUAUGCACCCAUGCCUUGCACUUGCACGCACCACGAUGCCAUGUAUAAAAAGUAAAGGUUCAUUACAUACCUUGAGAUAAAUUGGCCAUGUGGGCUCCAUAUGAACCUUCUUGCGAGUGCCAGCUUCGAUGUCCUCCGCUGCAUUAUAAUAUACAGUUAUUACUUCUUGAAGAAGGGGGCUUAUUCAGGCCUAAAGAGGCAAUAUUGUUGUAUGUGUUUUUAUUCAGGCUCAAAGCAUCUUCUACAGGGCACAGACCAAUAUCAGACCAGGCGGUUGGGUCAGCUGGCCUGGUCUGCUGAGCGAC
Long non-coding RNA from Macadamia integrifolia, 402 nucleotides. RefSeq lists it as uncharacterized. The transcript is spliced from 3 exons. The record is from RefSeq and is a predicted model, not a curated record. Lineage: Eukaryota; Viridiplantae; Streptophyta; Magnoliopsida; Proteales; Proteaceae.